GAUGAACGCUGGCGGCGUGCCUAACACAUGCAAGUCGAACGAAGCUUGACGGAUGAUUUCUUCGGAAUGAAACCUGAUAUGACUUAGUGGCGGACGGGUGAGUAACACGUGAGCAACCUGCCUUUCAGAGGGGGAUAACGGCUGGAAACGGUCGCUAAUACCGCAUGAUGUGUUCGGAUGGCAUCAUCUGAACAUCAAAGAUUUAUCGCUGAAAGAUGGGCUCGCGUCUGAUUAGAUAGUUGGUGGGGUAACGGCCUACCAAGUCGACGAUCAGUAGCCGGACUGAGAGGUUGAACGGCCACAUUGGGACUGAGAUACGGCCCAGACUCCUACGGGAGGCAGCAGUGGGGAAUAUUGCACAAUGGGGGGAAACCCUGAUGCAGCAACGCCGCGUGAAGGAUGACGGUUUUCGGAUUGUAAACUUCUUUCUUAGUGACGAAGACAGUGACGGUAGCUAAGGAUAAGCAUCGGCUAACUACGUGCCAG
This 486-nucleotide ribosomal RNA is filed under the name uncultured bacterium. RNAcentral's name for it is "bacterial SSU rRNA". It matches the Rfam family "Bacterial small subunit ribosomal RNA", at positions 28 to 511 of the family's 1533-position model. The record is from RNAcentral.